This 301-nucleotide ribosomal RNA is filed under the name uncultured bacterium. RNAcentral describes it as "partial 16S ribosomal RNA". It matches the Rfam family "Bacterial small subunit ribosomal RNA", at positions 509 to 807 of the family's 1533-position model. The record is from RNAcentral.
CAGCAGCCGCGGGAAUACGAAGGGUGCAAGCGUUAAUCGGAAUUACUGGGCAUAAAGCGUGCGUAGGCGGUGAGUUAAGUCUGCUGUGAAAUCCCCGGGCUCAACCUGGGAAUGGCAGUGGAUACUGGCUCGCUAGAGUGUGUCAGAGGAUGGUGGAAUUCCCGGUGUAGCGGUGAAAUGCGUAGAGAUCGGGAGGAACAUCAGUGGCGAAGGCGGCCAUCUGGGACAACACUGACGCUGAGGCGCGAAAGCGUGGGGAGCAAACAGGAUUAGAUACCCGAGUAGUCCCUGUCUCUUAUAC